CAGCGACUGGGGUGAAGUCGUAACAAGGUAGCCGUAGGGGAACCUGCGGCUGGAUCACCUCCUUUCUAAGGAUGGUUCUUCAGAAGCUUGCUUCUAUCGAACCGUUUUAGAAACAUCAGUGGCCAACGAUCGUCAGGAUUGUUGAGCUGCAUUGGCGGGAUUUCGCCGUCUUCGUUUCUCUUUCUUCGCGGACGAACACGCGCUGGGCCUGCGAGAGCAGGGUCCCUGGUCCUUGACGGGAAGCGUGAGGUCGGAAGUUCAAGUCUUCCCAGGCCCACCACACUCAUCGGGUAAGCAUUCGUCUUCUGGUUACGGGGCCAUAGCUCAGCUGGGAGAGCGCGUGCUUUGCAAGCAUGAGGUCGUCGGUUCGAUCCCGUCUGGCUCCACCAGAUGGUUUGAUCACCGAGGCUGUGUUUGCAGCUAUUCAACCGUCGUCCGCGAAACAUCACUUCGCACCUGCUAGUCUGGAUAGACAGUAAGGUGCGUGAUUUCUGACAUCGUAAAGAGGAGAUCGAUCCGAGUUGGAUCGGGCAGCAAGCAAUUGCUGCGCGAACCUUCAUUAUCUCCGGAUCAUUUCGGCGCUCGCGCGCCUUUCAAUGCGGCUCACAAGGCUGCGUCUGAGGGGAAUGCGGGUUGUAAAUGAUCCUUUUAGCGAAGCUUGACCGCCUCGCUAUCGGAACGAUCUUACGAAGCAAGCUGGUCUUUCUAAUCAUUGUCCGGCUGUACGUAGCGUUCAUCGAGGGCGCGUGCCGUAAGGCAAUCGUACAGACAACAUUCUGCCGAGUGUGUGGACAUUGAUAAUGAGAGCAAUCAAGUGCCUUAAGGGUGUUCGGUGGAUGCCUUGGCGCUGAGAGGCGAUGAAGGACGUGC
RNAcentral lists this unclassified non-coding RNA (870 nucleotides) under Bradyrhizobium japonicum. RNAcentral describes it as "partial contains 16S ribosomal RNA, 16S-23S ribosomal RNA intergenic spacer, and 23S ribosomal RNA". The stretch from base 1 to 65 matches the Rfam family "Bacterial small subunit ribosomal RNA", at positions 1469 to 1533 of the family's 1533-position model. The record is from RNAcentral. Lineage: Bacteria; Pseudomonadati; Pseudomonadota; Alphaproteobacteria; Hyphomicrobiales; Nitrobacteraceae.